This 480-nucleotide ribosomal RNA is filed under the name uncultured Glomus. RNAcentral's name for it is "SSU rRNA". It matches the Rfam family "Eukaryotic small subunit ribosomal RNA", at positions 569 to 1054 of the family's 1831-position model. Lineage: Eukaryota; Fungi; Glomeromycota; Glomeromycetes; Glomerales; Glomeraceae. The record is from RNAcentral.
AGCAGCCGCGGUAAUUCCAGCUCCAAUAGCGUAUAUUAAAGUUGUUGCAGUUAAAAAGCUCGUAGUUGAAUUUCGGGAUCAAUUUGCUGGUCGUGCCUCUGGUACGUACUGGUAUUAUUGGUUUCUCCCUUCUGACGAACCAUGAUGUCAUUAAUUUGAUGUCGUGGAGAAUCAGGACUGUUACUUUGAAAAAUUAGAGUGUUUAAAGCAGGCAUUAGCUUGAAUACAUUAGCAUGGAAUAAUGAAAUAGGACGUUUGAUCCUAUUUUGUUGGUUUCUAGGAUUGACGUAAUGAUUAAUAGGGAUAGUUGGGGGCAUUAGUAUUCAAUUGUCAGAGGUGAAAUUCUUGGAUUUAUUGAAGACUAACUACUGCGAAAGCAUUUGCCAAGGAUGUUUUCAUUAAUCAAGAACGAAAGUUAGGGGAUCGAAGACGAUCAGAUACCGUCGUAGUCUUAACCAUAAACUAUGCCGACUAGGGAUC